CAAUAAGUUAUACUUUAUAUUGCACAUGUUGUACUUUGGAGAGAGAGUUUUCCCAAUUUGCAUAAAAGUCUCAUCUGCUUUUCUUCUUUGUGAUUCAGAUUAUUAUUUUCGUGUAUUCCCUGUAGUGUUCACGCCCAUCUUCUCUUGCUGUGGAGUAACCCCUUCACCAGAUGGAUUAGCUGGAAUGUUUGCGGUUGCAGUAUAAAUGAAACAUUCAUCAAGGAAAAAGGUAAUGCUCUGACAUUUUAGUAAUAAUAUGCUCAAAAGUAUAAGACUGAACCACCUAUGCUCUUCUACAUGACGGCUGAUGGCCUUUCAGGCUUUCCUUACUUGGUUUGAACAUAAAAAUGUAUAGUUACUUUAGCUGCAUUUUUAGCCGUUCAUGUUACUUCAGAUGAGUACACAUACUUCUCACACUUGAAUACGCAUUUCAUAUGUUCUGCUCAUCAAGAGAAGCACAACUCUUUCUUUUGCUCUCUAUUCUCAAUUUGAAUUACUGGAAUGUGCUAUGAGCGAAGUUUCAGUGUAUGAUUUUGCUUUUUGUAACCAAUGUAAUAAGAAUUCUGAACAUCCCCCCUCCACACCCUAAAAAAAGGGAAAAAAGAAAUUAGUUUUUGUUCCUUCAUAAAGUAAAAUAUUCUUUACUCUAUUAUUCACGACACAUCACUUUCUUUGUACCAAAAUAGGGGAUAAUGAGAAAAGAAGGUAUUUCAUAUUUUUUCUUCAAAAAAGUAAUUUUAGCUUGCAUCAACAUGUCUACUGCUAUAUUAAAAUGUGCUGACCACUUUUCUUAUUACUCAAACUAUUUGAUUCAAACUAAAAUUAAAUUGCUCUAGAUUGUUGCUUAAAUACCUAGAAAACAAAAUUAAUGUUCAUUCUAAGCUGGAUAUAAGACCCUUAUAACACAUAAGAAAUGCAUACAAAAGGCAGUUGUUGUUCGGUUUCUCUUCAAAAGGUGCAAAGUAAAAGGAGUGUCUUUAAGAGUAACUUCAUGGAGUUCUCUCACAAACUGAUAAAGAAAAAGCAAAGAGCAUUUCAGUUUUCAUGUCUUUUUCAUUAAAAUACUUCUCCAUAAAAUAAUGUUAUUAGCAAUGUUACCUCAACAGUUUGAAAAUCAAUGACUUAUGUUUCAAGCAAAAUAUUGCAUAGAAAUUUCCUUCAUCAAACCUGUUGCAUUAGUAAACUGUGCCUUUAGACCUCAAAAGUACUCUUGCUUAUUUUGUGAAGUUUCCCUGCUUCAUUAUGAAAAUGGAAUAUUAAGCAGCAGUCCUUUGAUUUUUAGUUCUUUACUUUGAACUAAUGGCUGAAGAAAAAAAGACAUCAAGACAAACAAGAAACAUUGACCAAUUAGGUGCUAUUGUGAGUCGCCAGUUUUAUGACCGUUAUGCUAAUAUGCAACACCAUAAAAGGUUAAAUAAAUCUCAGAAAUGAUUUGAAAUGCUGAUAAGUCAACCACUUAUAAUGGAGAAAGACCAGAAUCAUAUAAAAAACUGAAUCUAACGGUAAACAUUCAUUUUUUUCCUUCAAAAAAAUCACUCAAGUCCCCACUAUGGGACCUUGAAGGUGGAUUUUAUAUCAUCAGAGAUUGGUACAGUUAGACGAGGGCAAAACCAAGCCUCUGAAAGUGUUACAUCAGCUACAAUUAGAUCAUCUGAAUAAGGUACCUCAGUACUGGUGCUUUAUGUUAUUCGGACUGUCCGAAAAUGUCAUCAGGUGAGUGUCAGAUCCUCCAAAAGUAGUGUAUUUUUGAAGGAUACGAUAUUUUGGAGAGUAUGAGCAAUGUAGCUGAAAAGAAUUAACACAAUACUUCAUUAUGUCCUGUAAUUAUGGUGCGAUCCCAAAAGGACAAGAAUCAUAAUUGUAGAAAAAGCUUGGCAGGAUACGCGAGAGUUUCUAUUUAUUUUUUCUUUUUAAUUCUAAACUUUGAAAGUUGUUUAACUUAAGAACAUCUAUAUUUUAAGAAAAAGCUAUAAUUCAGAGUGACAAGGGAAUAACUAAUAAGAGUUGUUAGGUCGGGGAUUGGGUCUACAUUAAUAGGCACAUGAUUGGCAACUGAUUUCCAGAAGUUAGUUUUAACAACUUCUUUUCCUCUUCUGCCCUUUGUAUAAAUAAUAAUUAGUUGAUUGUAAAGACAUUCAGUUUGUGAUGGAUCAAUAAAAGUCUUCUCCUCUUUUCUUUAAA
Nicotiana attenuata is the source of this 2181-nucleotide long non-coding RNA. RefSeq lists it as uncharacterized. The transcript is spliced from 2 exons. The record is from RefSeq and is a predicted model, not a curated record. Lineage: Eukaryota; Viridiplantae; Streptophyta; Magnoliopsida; Solanales; Solanaceae.